GACGAACGCUGGCGGCGUGCUUAACACAUGCAAGUCGAGCGAGGCCCCUCCUUCGGGAGGGUGUCCUAGCGGCGAACGGGUGAGUAACACGUGGGCAACCUGCCCUCAGCUCUGGGAUAACUCCGGGAAACCGGGGCUAAUACCGGAUACGACCUCCACGGGCAUCUGCGGAGGUGGAAAGUUUUUCGGCUGAGGAUGGGCCCGCGGCCUAUCAGCUAGUUGGUGGGGUAGUGGCCCACCAAGGCGACGACGGGUAGCCGGCCUGAGAGGGCGACCGGCCACACUGGGACUGAGACACGGCCCAGACUCCUACGGGAGGCAGCAGUGGAGAAUAUUGCGCAAUGGGCGAAAGCCUGACGCAGCGACGCCGCGUGAGGGACGAAGGCCUUCGGGUUGUAAACCUCUUUCAGCAGGGACGAAGCGAAAGUGACGGUACCUGCAGAAGAAGCACCGGCCAACUACGUG
This 465-nucleotide ribosomal RNA is filed under the name uncultured bacterium. RNAcentral's name for it is "partial 16S ribosomal RNA". It matches the Rfam family "Bacterial small subunit ribosomal RNA", at positions 28 to 507 of the family's 1533-position model. The record is from RNAcentral.